This 352-nucleotide unclassified non-coding RNA is filed under the name soil metagenome. RNAcentral describes it as "partial contains 5.8S ribosomal RNA, internal transcribed spacer 2, and large subunit ribosomal RNA". The stretch from base 1 to 120 matches the Rfam family "5.8S ribosomal RNA", at positions 35 to 154 of the family's 154-position model. The record is from RNAcentral.
GAUGAAGAACGUAGCGAAACGCGAUACGUAAUGUGAAUUGCAGAAUUCAGUGAAUCAUCGAAUCUUUGAACGCACAUUGCGCCCGCCAGUAUUCUGGCGGGCAUGCCUGUUCGAGCGUCAUUACAACCCUCAGGCCCCCGGGCCUGGCGUUGGGGAUCGGCGGAGCCCCCCGUGGGCACACGCCGUCCCCCAAAUACAGUGGCGGUCCCGCCGCAGCUUCCAUCGCGUAGUAGCUAACACCUCGCGACUGGAGAGCGGCGCGGCCACGCCGUAAAACACCCAACUCUUCUGAAGUUGACCUCGAAUCAGGUAGGAAUACCCGCUGAACUUAAGCAUAUCAAUAAGCGGAGGA